Long non-coding RNA from Quercus lobata, 477 nucleotides. RefSeq lists it as uncharacterized. The record is from RefSeq and is a predicted model, not a curated record. The transcript has 2 exons. NCBI's taxonomy places the organism in Eukaryota, Viridiplantae, Streptophyta, Magnoliopsida, Fagales, Fagaceae.
AGCAGAUUCAAAAUAGCAAAUUCAAAUUUAGGAUGUGAAUGGGCUUGUACUGAAAAUUUCGUAUUUGAAAUCCUUUUCAAAAUUUGUUUUACAUAUCGAGGGUCAUUUCCCCAUCGCCAAACAAAAUGCUUUUUCUACUAAAGAUGGGUCAUUGUCUCCAACUUCUCACUCGACAUUGCCCCGCUCACCACUGCACGCCUCUUUCACAUUUCCUCCUUGUAAUCCCUCGCUUCCUGAUUUGGAUAUUCAAAUGAGCAAUCCAAACUUUUAAAUCUGAGAGGUAGUUGUUCCUCUAAGAAAGGAUGAGAAUGCUUGCUCCAAGAUUCAAGCAAUCACAUAUCCUUUCAAGCAAUAAAUGGGAAAAACUUGGAGCAAAGGGAGCCUCAGCUUACCAAGGAUGAAGAUGAGGAUGAGCAAUAGGCCAAGGAUGAGGAUCAACAAGUUGAAUGUGAAGGAGCUGUCAUUAUUGGCUUGGAU